AACGCACAUUGCGCCUCUCAUAGCUGGGAGGCAUGCCUGUCUGAGUGUCAGCUUAAUCAAUAGGCCCGUGAGGGCCUGUGUUGGGCCUCGCCCCCAGGCGUCGCCUCGAAAUCAUUUGUCCAUGAGCGGAUGAGAUCCAUUUUGGGACUGGCCGUUUGAGGACCGUAAGACUCUCUGAAUUUGACCUCAGAUCAGGUAGGACUACCGCCUGAACUUAA
This 218-nucleotide unclassified non-coding RNA is filed under the name uncultured fungus. RNAcentral describes it as "sequence contains ITS2". The record is from RNAcentral. Lineage: Eukaryota; Fungi.